Molecule: long non-coding RNA, 292 nt
Filed under: Lathyrus oleraceus (garden pea)
Lineage: Eukaryota; Viridiplantae; Streptophyta; Magnoliopsida; Fabales; Fabaceae
Description: Pisum sativum (pea) long non-coding RNA (PSAT_LNC034038)
Source: RNAcentral
UCACAAAAAACCCUAAAAACAAGAAUAAAAGCAAUCUUUUCAUCUGCAUAAUGAUUGUCUUGUUUGACUUCCAAAAAGCUUUUCAUAUCAAAUCAUUAUGCAGGUUGAUUCUCAAACCCAUUGAACAUAAUGAUCGGACGUCAUCUCCCAACUUUGAAUUCCCUGUAUGCGAAGCAGAAGAAGAUGAUGUUGAAGGGAUUCCUGACGAGAUUUCCCGACUUCUUGGGCAAGAAAAGAAGAUCACUCAGCUGCAUCUCGAGAAUCAGCAGAACAGCCAACUGGGGCAUUAAAA